This 90-nucleotide transfer RNA is filed under the name Saprospiraceae bacterium. RNAcentral describes it as "tRNA-Ser". It matches the Rfam family "tRNA". Rfam says of the family: Transfer RNA (tRNA) molecules are approximately 80 nucleotides in length. Their secondary structure includes four short double-helical elements and three loops (D, anti-codon, and T loops). Lineage: Bacteria; Pseudomonadati; Bacteroidota; Saprospiria; Saprospirales; Saprospiraceae. The record is from RNAcentral. RNAcentral also lists the same sequence under 1 other name.
GGAUGGGUGGGUGAGUGGCUGAAACCAACGGUUUGCUAAACCGUCGUACGGGGUUAACUCGUACCGCGGGUUCGAAUCCCGCCCCAUCCG